This 76-nucleotide transfer RNA is filed under the name Pachychilon pictum (Albanian roach). RNAcentral's name for it is "tRNA-Lys". Lineage: Eukaryota; Metazoa; Chordata; Actinopteri; Cypriniformes; Leuciscidae. The record is from RNAcentral.
CACUAGGAAGCUAAUAAUUGGACUAAGCGUUGACCUUUUAAGUCAAAGUCUGGUGCCUGCCGACCACCUCUAGUGA